GUAACUAUAGUUUAUAAAAACGCUAGAUUGUGAAUCUAGAAAUAAAGGUUGAAACCCUUUUAAUUACC
This is a transfer RNA of 68 nucleotides. It matches the Rfam family "tRNA". Rfam says of the family: Transfer RNA (tRNA) molecules are approximately 80 nucleotides in length. Their secondary structure includes four short double-helical elements and three loops (D, anti-codon, and T loops). Further hydrogen bonds mediate the characteristic L-shaped molecular structure. tRNAs have two regions of fundamental functional importance: the anti-codon, which is responsible for specific mRNA codon recognition, and the 3' end, to which the tRNAs corresponding amino acid is attached (by aminoacyl-tRNA synthetases). tRNAs cope with the degeneracy of the genetic code in two manners: having more than one tRNA (with a specific anti-codon) for a particular amino acid; and 'wobble' base-pairing, i.e. permitting non-standard base-pairing at the 3rd anti-codon position.